AAAUUGAAGAGUUUGAUCAUGGCUCAGAUUGAACGCUGGCGGCAGGCCUAACACAUGCAAGUCGAACGGUAACAGGAAGAAGCUUGCUUCUUUGCUGACGAGUGGCGGACGGGUGAGUAAUGUCUGGGAAACUGCCCGAUGGAGGGGGAUAACUACUGGAAACGGUAGCUAAUACCGCAUAACGUCGCAAGACCAAAGAGGGGGACCUUCGGGCCUCUUGCCAUCGGAUGUGCCCAGAUGGGA
Molecule: ribosomal RNA, 243 nt
Filed under: Escherichia coli
Lineage: Bacteria; Pseudomonadati; Pseudomonadota; Gammaproteobacteria; Enterobacterales; Enterobacteriaceae
Description: partial 16S ribosomal RNA
Rfam family: Bacterial small subunit ribosomal RNA
Source: RNAcentral